RNAcentral lists this ribosomal RNA (468 nucleotides) under uncultured bacterium. Its description in RNAcentral is "partial 16S ribosomal RNA". It matches the Rfam family "Bacterial small subunit ribosomal RNA", at positions 28 to 507 of the family's 1533-position model. The record is from RNAcentral.
GACGAACGCUGGCGGCGUGCUUAACACAUGCAAGUCGAACGGAAAGGCCCUGCUUUUGUGGGGUGCUCGAGUGGCGAACGGGUGAGUAACACGUGAGUAACCUGCCCUUGACUUUGGGAUAACUUCAGGAAACUGGGGCUAAUACCGGAUAGGAGCUCCUGCUGCAUGUUGGGGGUUGGAAAGUUUCGGCGGUUUGGGAUGGACUCGCGGCUUAUCAGCUUGUUGGUGGGGUAGUGGCUUACCAAGGCUUUGACGGGUAGCCGGCCUGAGAGGGUUACCGGCCACAUUGGGACUGAGAUACGGCCCAGACUCCUACGGGAGGCAGCAGUGGGGAAUAUUGCACAAUGGGCGGAAGCCUGAUGCAGCAACGCCGCGUGCGGGAUGACGGCCUUCGGGUUGUAAACCGCUGUCGCCUGUGACGAAGCGUGAGUGACGGUAAUGGGUAAAGAAGCACCGGCUAACUACGUG